CCCAAACCAAUAAAGUUUUCUUUAUUGGGGUUGCGGACAUAUCAUAACGAAGAGGUAUCGUAAUUGAAGAGGUUUGGAAAGACCCACCACAGAAGGUAAUAGGCCUGUAUGUUAAACGAGAAGACUUCAGAUAUGAUCCAGAGUACCACGGGACACGUGAAACCCUGUGGGAAGCAGGAGGGACCACCCUCCAAGGCUAAAUACUACCUAGUGACCGAUAGCGUAUAGUA
RNAcentral lists this ribosomal RNA (230 nucleotides) under Clostridioides difficile. RNAcentral describes it as "partial 23S ribosomal RNA". It matches the Rfam family "Bacterial large subunit ribosomal RNA", at positions 268 to 500 of the family's 2925-position model. Lineage: Bacteria; Bacillati; Bacillota; Clostridia; Peptostreptococcales; Peptostreptococcaceae. The record is from RNAcentral.